RNAcentral lists this ribosomal RNA (112 nucleotides) under uncultured bacterium. Its description in RNAcentral is "partial 16S ribosomal RNA". It matches the Rfam family "Bacterial small subunit ribosomal RNA", at positions 1373 to 1482 of the family's 1533-position model. The record is from RNAcentral.
CCCGGGCCUUGUACACACCGCCCGUCACACCAUGGGAGUUGGUUUUACCUGAAGGCGGUGCGCUAACCCGCAAGGGGGGCAGCCGACCACGGUAGGGUCAGCGACUGGGGUG